Small nuclear RNA from Heteronotia binoei (common prickly gecko), 164 nucleotides. RefSeq annotates it as U1 spliceosomal RNA. The record is from RefSeq and is a predicted model, not a curated record. The transcript has a single exon. Lineage: Eukaryota; Metazoa; Chordata; Lepidosauria; Squamata; Gekkonidae.
AUUUUUUCCUGGCUUGAGAGACACGUUGAUCAUGAAAGGGUUUUUCCCAGGUUGAGGCUCAUCCAUUUCUCUCUGGGCGUGUUGACCCCUGCAAUUUCCCCAAAUGUGAGAAACUUGACUGCAUAAUUCGCAGUAGUGGGAGAUUGUGUUUGCACUUUCUCUGG